Molecule: transfer RNA, 73 nt
Filed under: Camelus bactrianus (Bactrian camel)
Lineage: Eukaryota; Metazoa; Chordata; Mammalia; Artiodactyla; Camelidae
Also listed under: 2 other names
Rfam family: tRNA
About the family: Transfer RNA (tRNA) molecules are approximately 80 nucleotides in length.
Source: Rfam by way of RNAcentral
GAGGGAAUAGCUCAAGUGGUAGAGCACAUGCCUAGCAUGCACAAGGUCCUGGGUUCAAUCCCCAGUGCCUCCU